Molecule: long non-coding RNA, 1101 nt
Organism: Mauremys reevesii (Reeves's turtle)
Lineage: Eukaryota; Metazoa; Chordata; Testudines; Geoemydidae
Exons: 2
Source: RefSeq, a predicted model, not a curated record
GAAGCCCCUUGUGUGCCCUGCAAUGUCAGACCCUGCCCUGCCCCUCCGCCAUUGCCCGUGGCCAGCUUUGGGCGAUCCCAGCAGAGAAGUGUGACUGAUGGGAACUGGAGCAGGGCAAAGCUGGUGGGAUGACUUGUGACCAGCCUGAAGUGCAAUGUUUACCCCAGUCUGAGUAGCUCUGAGCAAAGCUAGCCAGAGCCGUGGCAGGAGCCGGAUUUUGAGCAAGUCUCGAUCGGAUGAUAGUACCAGCUGGAACCCAGGCAGAAGCCCAUGAGUUUUUGGUCCAUCCAUAGCAGUUUCAGAUGAGUCAAAAUGAACAAGGUGACUUCUUGUUUCAGGUUAGCCCCCUGUGUUCUACAAACAGCAAAAAAACCCCACUGUUGUGUUAAAAAAAAAAAGAAUGAGCAUACGCUGAGACAGAGAAACAAAAGGUGCAUUCGACCUCUCUUUCCAACAAGUACAUACACUGAUGCACAUUACCCCCUUCUUGGAUUUUCUGAAUACACAAAAACAACUGCCAGGCCUUUGGAAGGUUCAAAAGGAGAAGCAUUGGUGCCAUCUGCUGGCUAUGACCUGUGUUUACUACCUUCGUUCCUACUUACUUGAGUUAUGAAAUGAUUUCGUCCAAUUCAGUUCUUUCUGAGACCACUUGCACCAAGUCUCCUUAGUCAUUAUAAUAUUAAAAAAAUACCAUGAUGACCUUGUAACAGAAGCCAAUAGACAGCAAGUUGUUUGCCCUAAAGGCUGUGCAAGUACAUACUUGCCUUAACCUAAGUUGCACAUCAGAGAAACUCAGUGCAGGCUCACUGAAGCGACUUCCUGUAGAUUCAACCUGCUGCUGUUAAUUCUGAAAGCUUUUUUUUUUCCCCCUCGUGUCAGGGAAUAAGGCUCUGUUGCUCAGCAGCUCCAGAGUGACCACAUACGAAAACUGCCAGCCAUCAGAGAAGUGCUUUACUAAUGAGCCUCCACAAUGGUCAAGGAAACAAACAAUUUAUAAUGCUUAAAAGAGAAAUUGAUCUCUGGGAUUAGGAAAAGGGGUAAAGGGAAUCCCUCAUUAAACCAAUAACUGAACCUACUGGAAAUAAACAGUGUUUCAUAACC